Long non-coding RNA from Pseudoliparis swirei, 2085 nucleotides. RefSeq lists it as uncharacterized. The record is from RefSeq and is a predicted model, not a curated record. Lineage: Eukaryota; Metazoa; Chordata; Actinopteri; Perciformes; Liparidae. The transcript has 5 exons.
UGCACUUCUGCAUGAGAUUUUUCGCGCCGGUCUACGCCACCUUAAGUGUUUCUGCAGAAUGCCGUCUACGUCCAGCACAACUUAACCAGGAUUUGGAUGCAGUGUAAAGAGUGCAAGUUUUCCCACCCAAAUCAAGAUGUCCUCUUAAAGCACUACAGGCUUGGACAUUACCAGGGGAGAUUAUGGCCACUCCCGUGCCUGCAUACAGACUGCAUCUGCACUUUCAAGACAACUGGUGCAUUGAAAUCCCAUCUUUCAAGAGUACAUAAACAGCCUGGAAAGCCUGAAGUGCAGCUCACAUUGUGUUGUGAAUUGUGUGACUUUAAAGACCUCUGUGCGCCAGCAAAAUACAUAGGCCAUCUCAGGGCUCAUUUAAAGCAGCAUGUGACUGUUUGUUGUCCAUUCAAAAACUGUGAAUUUACCAGUAAUGUCCUUUCGUCCUUCAGUAGUCAUAAGCAGAUGCAGAACUGCCUGCAGAGGAGAAUGAUCCACAGCCUUGCAGGAAGAAACAAAGAAAAGACAUCCCAACAACGCUCUCAUUGACUCCAAAAUGGAAGUGACUUUUUCUCUGCGGAGGAAGGAAAUAGUGGAUGAAGAACCACUUGUUGCCGAUGUCAUGGAGAGGUGGCCUGGGUUGUUUUUGCAAGAACAGUUUUUUUUUUUUCUAACAACAUAUUUUGCCAAAUGUUCUCCCUUCUUUUGAAAGAACCAACAACAAAGGUUUGAAUCAAUUGUACAUAACAUGUACAUGAAAACUGUCACCUUUCUUAGAUCUGUGCAGAAUUCUUCAGACUUACACGAGUGGACCUGAAGAAGACCUUCCUGUCAUCAUUGGAUGCACACGCAUCGCAACUUAUGAAGCUGUACAGAUCACGCAGCACAUCGCUUGGAAAGGACAUGAGGAUCCUUCUAGACAACUUUGAUGAACAGACGAAUGAUGUCCUUGCCCACAGAAAGUGUACAGCUCUGCGAGGUCUACCUUUCGUUGUGAAGGAGAAGCCGGACGGCUUGCUGAAGACAUGUCUGAAUACAGACCCGGAGGAAUCUUACGUGAAAGGAGUUGAACUGGGAAUACUCACAGUUGUUGAAGAUGACAUUGGGACGGUCCGCUCAAGUCCAACAACACUAAGCAUCGCCGUGAUUAUUGAGGAACGGAUUGUGCUGGAUGAUAUAUGCGACAUCUCAACUGCAUUUGCCCUUUUGUUUGGACUCAUCUAUGCUCAACCUGGAGUGUCCGAAGGACUUGAGGUACACUUUCGAAGUAAUUCAAAAGUAGUUCAUGAACCUUGGUACCCAGUGCUCUGCCUGGGUUCAGGCCUUAAAAAACAGUUUGCUCAAGUAGCCUGCCAUAUUUAAACCCCGCCUAUGGUCUUGGCUGGAUUUUGAGGGGGGUAAGAGUUCCAAAAGGUUUCUGAAGGCCAAUGUACAGGUUGCAGUUGUAUUGCUACAGACAAUAUGUUUUUGAUGUCCAUCCAUUGUAAAAGCAAUAUAUGACAAAUUGUCCCACUGUUGAUAGGAUACAGUGCCCAUAACAAUAAACUGAUAUUGGAAUCAGCAUUGUUGCUGUGUAUGCUCAAGAAAGCAUAACUUGUACAAAAUUGUUGUUUUUUGCAUCUUAACAGUUCUUGUUGGAUAUAUAUAUAUAUAUACAUAUACAUAUUGCAGUUUUAAACGGUAGAUGGAUGGAUAGAUGCAUGGAUAAGAUAGGUUUUUAAGCCAUUUUAUACCUCCCACCAAUCUUUACGGUGGGGUCAAGCCGGCCUGACUAGACAGUCUAGUGUUACAACAAAAUCAAAACAUUGUUCCUGAAUAAAACCGCAACCUGCACCAAAACCAUCCUCAAGCAGCACAGUUUCAAGGGAAUGCCAUUGUCCUUCUGUGUUGUAUAUAUGUUCCAUCAUAUACCAUGUUCCAAAGCUUGUUUCAAGGCCUUGAUUUUGGAUUCACAAAACAGAAUUUUUCAUUUUUUUUCUUUAUGCAGCCAUUUUGAUUUUUACGGAUGUUGACCCUCUGCUGUCUGUUAAAGUGUUGACACCUGGAAUUCAUAUAGUUAUGCAAACAAAUGUUUAGUUAUUGUUAAUAAAC